Molecule: ribosomal RNA, 199 nt
Filed under: Pseudomonas aeruginosa
Lineage: Bacteria; Pseudomonadati; Pseudomonadota; Gammaproteobacteria; Pseudomonadales; Pseudomonadaceae
Description: partial 16S ribosomal RNA
Rfam family: Bacterial small subunit ribosomal RNA
Source: RNAcentral
AGCAGUAUUGAACUGAAGAGUUUGAUCAUGGCUCAGAUUGAACGCUGGCGGCAGGCCUAACACAUGCAAGUCGAGCGGAUGAAGGGAGCUUGCUCCUGGAUUCAGCGGCGGACGGGUGAGUAAUGCCUAGGAAUCUGCCUGGUAGUGGGGGAUAACGUCCGGAAACGGGCGCUAAUACCGCAUACGUCCUGAGGGAGAA